This 564-nucleotide ribosomal RNA is filed under the name Streptomyces sp. 322E07. Its description in RNAcentral is "bacterial SSU rRNA". It matches the Rfam family "Bacterial small subunit ribosomal RNA", at positions 93 to 671 of the family's 1533-position model. RNAcentral also lists the same sequence under 7 other names. The record is from RNAcentral. Lineage: Bacteria; Bacillati; Actinomycetota; Actinomycetes; Kitasatosporales; Streptomycetaceae.
UAGUGGCGAACGGGUGAGUAACACGUGGGCAAUCUGCCCUUCACUCUGGGACAAGCCCUGGAAACGGGGUCUAAUACCGGAUAACACUCUGUCCCGCAUGGGACGGGGUUGAAAGCUCCGGCGGUGAAGGAUGAGCCCGCGGCCUAUCAGCUUGUUGGUGGGGUGAUGGCCUACCAAGGCGACGACGGGUAGCCGGCCUGAGAGGGCGACCGGCCACACUGGGACUGAGACACGGCCCAGACUCCUACGGGAGGCAGCAGUGGGGAAUAUUGCACAAUGGGCGAAAGCCUGAUGCAGCGACGCCGCGUGAGGGAUGACGGCCUUCGGGUUGUAAACCUCUUUCAGCAGGGAAGAAGCGAAAGUGACGGUACCUGCAGAAGAAGCGCCGGCUAACUACGUGCCAGCAGCCGCGGUAAUACGUAGGGCGCAAGCGUUGUCCGGAAUUAUUGGGCGUAAAGAGCUCGUAGGCGGCUUGUUGCGUCGGUUGUGAAAGCCCGGGGCUUAACCCCGGGUCUGCAGUCGAUACGGGCAGGCUAGAGUGUGGUAGGGGAGAUCGGAAUUCCU